AGUGAACGCUGGCGGUAGGCCUAACACAUGCAAGUCGAACGGCAGCACAGUAAGAGCUUGCUCUUACGGGUGGCGAGUGGCGGACGGGUGAGGAAUACAUCGGAAUCUACUUUUUCGUGGGGGAUAACGUAGGGAAACUUACGCUAAUACCGCAUACGACCUACGGGUGAAAGCAGGGGAUCUUCGGACCUUGCGCGAUUGAAUGAGCCGAUGUCGGAUUAGCUAGUUGGCGGGGUAAAGGCCCACCAAGGCGACGAUCCGUAGCUGGUCUGAGAGGAUGAUCAGCCACACUGGAACUGAGACACGGUCCAGACCCCUACGGGAGGCAGCAGUGGGGAAUAUUGGACAAGGGGCGCAAGCCUGAUCCAGCCAUACCGCGUGGGUGAAGAAGGCCUUCGGGUUGUAAAGCCCUUUUGUUGGGAAAGAAAAGCAGCAGGUUAAUACCCCGCUGUUCGGACGGUACCCAAAGAAUAAGCACCGGCUAACUGCGU
RNAcentral lists this ribosomal RNA (491 nucleotides) under uncultured bacterium. Its description in RNAcentral is "partial 16S ribosomal RNA". It matches the Rfam family "Bacterial small subunit ribosomal RNA", at positions 29 to 506 of the family's 1533-position model. The record is from RNAcentral.